UGGGGAAUAUUGCACAAUGGGCGCAAGCCUGAUGCAGCCAUGCCGCGUGUGUGAAGAAGGCCUUCGGGUUGUAAAGCACUUUCAGCGGGGAGGAAGGCGGUGAGGUUAAUAACCUCAUCGAUUGACGUUACCCGCAGAAGAAGCACCGGCUAACUCCGUGCCAGCAGCCGCGGUAAUACGGAGGGUGCAAGCGUUAAUCAGAAUUACUGGGCGUAAAGCGCACGCAGGCGGUCUGUCAAGUCGGAUGUGAAAUCCCCGGGCUCAACCUGGGAACUGCAUUCGAAACUGGCAGGCUAGAGUCGUGUAGAGGGGGGUAGAAUUCCAGGUGUAGCGGUGAAAUGCGUAGAGAUCUGGGGGAAUACCGGUGGCGAAGGCGGCCCCCUGGACAAAGACUGACGCUCAGGUGCGAAAGCGUGGGGAGCAAACAGG
Molecule: ribosomal RNA, 429 nt
Filed under: Chloroflexota bacterium
Lineage: Bacteria; Bacillati; Chloroflexota
Description: Chloroflexi bacterium partial 16S ribosomal RNA
Rfam family: Bacterial small subunit ribosomal RNA
Source: RNAcentral